CCUGAACGCUGGCGGCGUGGCUAAGACAUGCAAGUCGUACGGGUGUAGCAAUACACCAGUGGCGGACGGGUGAGUAAUGUAUCGCUAACGUGCCCCAGAGUCUGGGAUAGCUGCCCGAAAGGGCAGGUAAUACCAGAUGAUAUAUCCGAAUCGCAUGGUCUGGAUCUCAAAGGGAAACCGUUCUGGGAGCGGGCGAUAUCGUAUCAGCUAGUUGGUGAGGUAACGGCUCACCAAGGCGACGACGCGUAGCCGGACUGAGAGGUUGGCCGGCCACAUUGGGACUGAGACACUGCCCAGACUCCUACGGGGGGCUGCAGUAACGAAUCUUCCGCAAUGCACGCAAGUGUGACGGAGCGACGCCGCGUGUGGGACGAAGUCCUUCGGGAUGUAAACCACUGUCAGGGGUUAGAAAGUUCUGAUCAACCCCAGAGGAAGGCACGGCUAACUCUGUGCCAGCAGCCGCGGUAAGACAGAGGUGCCAAGCGUUAGGCGGAAUCACUGGGCUUAAAGCGUGUGUAGGUGGGCGGGUAAGUACCUUGUGAAAUCCCACGGCUCAACCGUGGAACUGCUUGGUAUACUGCUU
RNAcentral lists this ribosomal RNA (583 nucleotides) under uncultured bacterium. Its description in RNAcentral is "bacterial SSU rRNA". It matches the Rfam family "Bacterial small subunit ribosomal RNA", at positions 28 to 638 of the family's 1533-position model. The record is from RNAcentral.